This 398-nucleotide long non-coding RNA is filed under the name Phoenix dactylifera (date palm). RNAcentral's name for it is "long non-coding RNA (PDAC_LNC018057)". The record is from RNAcentral. Lineage: Eukaryota; Viridiplantae; Streptophyta; Magnoliopsida; Arecales; Arecaceae.
CGCCCCCUUUCUCCUCUCCUCUUGGAUCAGCUGCAAGCAAGAAAGAAAAAGAUCCAUGGUGGUCUCCUUCUUCCUCCUCCGUUUGGGAUUCAACGCAAGGAAAGAAAAGGCUGCAUCUAGCUUUUUGGAUCUUCUUCCUUGAUCCUUUCAUCUUCUUCCUCCUCCCUCUAGCAUUCAAGAGUUGAAAGAAAGGGAGGUGAUCAGCCAUCAAAACCAAUCUCUGCAAGGGAGCUAGCACCCCGGGGAGAUUAGAGCGAUUGGAUCGGUCCUCUGCUUCGUGUGGAUACCCGUAGAGGCCGGGCACUUGAACAGCUUCAAGCGAACCUUCAUCCUAAACCACGAACUUCAGUUUGCGGUGAUCAUCUACCCGCACAAGGUGAAGAUCUGAUCUUCUAAAU